RNAcentral lists this small RNA (847 nucleotides) under Cryptococcus neoformans H99. RNAcentral's name for it is "Cryptococcus neoformans var. grubii H99 hypothetical RNA". Lineage: Eukaryota; Fungi; Basidiomycota; Tremellomycetes; Tremellales; Cryptococcaceae. The record is from RNAcentral.
CGGCCGUUGUCGCUAGAAAAGAGACAUCAUGAUGAUAUUGACAAUCUGCUGUGAUGUUUCGCUGCUGUAACAAACUCGGGAAAACUAGGAUGCCCUGUUCUGGAUGGAGUAUAUGGGAAUUACAGUAAGGAAAUUUUCCCCUCCUCUUUUGUUGGCUGCCCUUGCUAGAACGAACAAAUAAUGGGGAUAUAGAGAGUAUGAUGCCGAGUCGUUGGUAACUGAUGUCCGCCCUGAUACUUUCUUCGUUCCAGUCGUUGCUCUGGAACUUAUUGACUGCUGAAGAAAACUGGAGAGUUCCUUUAUAUUCUUCAAUGUAAAAUAUAUGCUCGUCGAUGCCUUCGAGGGUGGCAAUAUUUUUAAUAGCUCUCUAUAUUUGACUCAUCUGCCUCUUUCAUGGUAAAGAAGCGCCGUGGUCGGGUAAAGUAGAAAUAACGAAAGUAUCCGUCGUCACUAAAGCUCUUCCCUCUCCUUCGCUCUGGUGCGGCACACCUGCUCACGUGCCCAGGCUCCUUCUGCCGAAGAAGGCUGCGUACUAUGAAAUGUACGACAAGUAACCCGAUGAUUACAGUUGUCGGUGGAAGGCAGCUGUCAAGUGCGUUGAUUGGUCAGAUGGGCAAGGGCGAUUCAAGUGGGGCAGAUGACCACGACGACAAUUUACUGAAUAAUUGAAUAAGCUUUCUUCCAGUAUGUCGCGUCGCCUAUUUCGGUGUUCCGUAACGUAAUGUAUGGGCUCAUCAUGGAUAACUUCCGGCUUCCGGUCCGUUUUUCUGGCUGCUCUUUCACUGGAAUCAGGCAGGGAUUUUUUGUUCUUUCACCUUCUGGAAUAUUCGCGACAUGCACUUGGUCA